AGGGAAGUAACUUUCCCCUUUGGGUCAGAGAAAUGAGAAAGAAGAGGAAGGAGGAGAGAUUUGAAGGACUUCACAUGGCUGGCUUUGAAGAUGGAAGGAAUGGACUGGGAGCCAGGGAAUGUGGCAGCCUCUAGAAGCUGGGAAUGGGCCUCAGGGUACAGGAAGCAAGACGACGAGGCUUUGCUGGGAAGAUGGCGUGGCUGGGUGCAGAGAGGCUGGGGCUGCGGACAGGCAUGGGCUGCACUGGCAGGAAGCCGCAGCUGCAAGGAGCUCACCGAGGGCCUGGCCCCACUGCAGCUACACGGGCACAGGUUUAACUUAAAGAAAAAGAAGAGAAAAGAAAAGACGAUGAGACGUAAGUCUUCCUUCCAUCCCCAAGAAGUAAAUUCUACAAAUAACCCAAAAGAGUGAGAAGCAUUCUCCUCAAUAUCUUAGAAGGAAAUGCAGCCUGUAGACACCUGCACUGGAGUUUUACUGAGACAUAACUGACAUGCAGCACUGCAUAAGUUUAAGGUGUGAUGCAUAAUGCUUUGAAUUCCAUACAUCAUGAAUGAUUAUCACGGUCUUCAGACUUGAAUGGGGUUGUGGAAAAGAUGGCUAUUACCUGGCAGAAGUCAAGGAAGCUGAGACUCACUUCAGAAGCUGAAGCCUGAAAGUGCAGCUUCGGGAAAUGUGAUGGGAGUCUGGAAAAUGAGGUUCCUUGUCAUUUUAUUUUUUUGACAUGUUUAAAAAAAGUUAUUGAAGUAUAUAGUUGAUUUACAAUGUCGUGUUAAUUUCUAUUGCACAGCAAAGUGAUUCAGUAUCUUUUUCACCAUAUUUUCCAUUAUGGUUUAUCACAGUAUAUCGAAUAUAAUUCUCUCGCUAUACAGAAGGAUCUUAUCUAUUCUAUAUAUAGUAGUUUGCAUCUUUUAGUCACAAACUCCCAAUCCAUCCCUCCCUCCACCCUGACCCUUGGCAACCACAAGUCUGUUCUCUAUCUCUGUGAGUCUAUUUCUGUUGUGUAGAUAAGUUCAUUUGUGUCAUAUUUUAGAUUCCACAUAUAAGUGCUAUGCUAUGGUAUUUGACUUGAACUUUCUGACUUCAUUAGUAUGAUAAUCUCUGGGUCUGUCCAUGCUAUUGUAAAUGGCAUUAUUUCAUUCUUUUUUAUGGCUGAGUAGUAUUUCAUUGUAUAUAUGUACCAACUCUUCUUUAUCCAUUCAUCUAUUGAUGGACAUUGCGUUUGUUUUAUGUCUUGUCUGUUAUGAACGGUGCUGCUAUGAAAAUAAGGGUGCACAUAUCUAAUCAAAUUAUAGUUUUGUCCAGAUAAAUGCCCACAAGUGGGAUUGCUGGAUUAUACAGCAACUAUGUUUUUUGUUUUUUGAGGAACCUCUAUACUGUUCUCUAUAGUGGCUGCACUUUGCCACUUUAAAUAAAGAAGCUCCAAAUGGCCUGGCAUGAUUUCAUUUCAUAGGUAGUGGAGAUCCUUGUGGAGGGGAAUAAGUUAGGAAAAACAACCAAAAUACUGGAGCAUGGCAGAGGAAGGACCAGCAGUUAUAGCGAGCAUCUCAUACUUUUCCUUUAAAGAGAUGAUGGAGUCUCCGCUGCUCCUCAGGCUACGCACUUAGAGUCGCACAUCUACUAAGAGACUACUGCGCUGCAGGGCUUCCUUUCCAGUGUAUCUCUGGAGGUACUGCUGAGGUCAAACCUACAUGUUUGACAGCUCUCUUUCCUCCUUGCCCUCGAAGAGAUUUCGUAUCCCAAAAUGCACUCAGUGGAAUAUUUAUAGGUGUUGGGCGAAAAGAAGUUCUACUAUCGACCAAGUGGGUUAACAAAGAUAAACAAGUUUCUUUAUAGCAGGUUUCCUCAGAUCUUUUAAUUAGUGUGCAUUGCGAAUCUGGCAGAAGUUAAGGAAGCUGAGACUCACUUCAGAAGCUGAAGCCUGAAAGUGCAGCUUUCAGAUAUAGUCUGAAGCAUUUUUCCAAAACCUUUUGACCACAUUCCCUGUAUUAGUCAGGAUUCUCUUGGUUUUUAAGUGACAGAAAUCCAGCUUCAAUAGGCAUAAGCCAUAAAGGGAACUUAUUGGCUCACAGAACCAAGAAGCUAAGGUAUGGCUGAAUGUGGAGUCCUCAAAGGAUGCUACCAGCGUCCCCCUUUCUGUCUCUUGGCUCAGCUUUCCUCUAGGUUGGCUUUGUUCUCAUGAAGUCUUUAUGUGGUAGUCCCUGGCAGCUCCAGGCUUACGUUAUAGUUAUAAAUUCCACUUUGGAAAACUAGGGAACAGAACUUAUUUAAGUGAAUUGUUUUGAAUUUAGAAGUAUUUAAAUCGUAAGCAAUUAAGUUACAAUAAUGAGAUAUAAAAUGCAAUUUCUGAAGAUCUUAUUUUUUUUUUUUUAUAAAAAUCUUGAUGGCAACCUAUGGUAUGGGUGCAUGCUGGUUUAAGAUAUAAUGAAACUGCCUAAUGGGAACUGUCGCUCACAAAAAUUAAUGUGUUUGGGAACUCACUUUGCUUCCCAAUUCCCUGAAUUCUUGUAUCCCAAAUUAGUGCUUAAUAAUUUACACAGUGCUUUCUUUUUGCAUCCAAAGUCAUUAGGAAUCACGUUGGUAUAAGAAAGCAGGUUCUCAACACAUUAGGGUGAUCAUACAAUUUGACAAACUACAUACUAUAGUAUUUAAAGUGGAACCUUUAAAAAAAAUCCUGGAGUUCCCCGUUGUGGCUCAGUGGGUAAUGAACCCAACUAGUAUCCAAGAGGAUGCAGGUUUGAACCCUGGCCUCCCUCUGGGGUUGUGGCUGUGGUAUAGUUGGGCAGCUGCAGCUCUGAUUCGACCCCUAACCUGGGUGAGGCCCUAAAAAAAAAACAAACAAAACCCUAAGCUAUUACUCUAUAUUACUCUGUAACUCCAAAUCCAUGAACCUAUUUUAAUUAUACUCUGUUAAAAAAAAAAAAAACUGCAGAAGAUAUACUCAUUUGAAAACUUUUAUUAGUUAUCAACUUUAUUGUAAAUUUGUGACUAGACUCUGGAUAUAUUUGACUGUGAAUCAUAGGAUUCUUCAUUAGUGUCCCAAAUUGGCUCUAAAUCAUCACGACACUGGCAGGAAUUGCUGAAUAGUCAAUAUGAAAGAGGCUUCUCUUUAAUUGGUCAACUAGUAAUCAUUUUAAUUUUGAAAUGCAUAAUGGUAAUGACUCUAUUUUUAUAUAUGGGAUAUUUUGAGGGAUUUUGAUUUUUAUAACCUAAGGAAAUUAUUCUAGCAAGUUAGAAAUUGAAUUCCCUGGAGGCGCUCAUUUCUCUUCCUAUGUAUUUAUUAUGUCUUUAUGGCUGGCUAGGAAGAGAACCAUAAUGAAGGCAAAAUCAUCUGGAAUUUUUAAAACUGGAAUCAUCAUCACUGGUCAGUCCGUUCUAUGAACCUAUCUGAUGGUCACUGAUGACAAUAUCUUGAAAAAUUUCAAGAUCUUCAGCAGUUUGUGAAUCAUCAAAAGAGAUCACAUUAUGCCUAAUAAUAAACAACGAAAUAUUAUCUAUAUUACUGCUUGAAAGCUAGUUAUCCAACAUGGCAUACAUAUGUGUACCUCUGAAUUGUUUGAUCAAACAGACCACUCUGCAAGAUAGUGGAGUUUCCAACAGAAUUACGUCUCAAAUCUUUUUGAAUAAAGGUUCAAACUAUUUUGAAAAAAAUGCUUGUGUUCUUCCACAUCAAAAGAUCUUUCUGUUACCAGCUAACAUUAGUUGUGAAGUGCCCUCUUCAUGUAGUCUCAUUUCAUCCUCACAAUGACUAUAGGAAAGAGGUAGCAUUUUUUAACCCCGAUUUUACAGAGGAGGAAACUGAGGAAUGAGGAUGGUGGUUAAAUGCCAAAUGUUACAACCUUGUCAAUGGCAGAGUCGGUAGGCAAUCCAACUCCAGAAUCAGUGAUAGGGACCACUGUUAAGAUAACAGUUGAUCGUUUUACCUACCAGCAGAUUACUUAACAACUAGACCUAAUGCACAACAAUGCGAACAUGGAGAUUUAUCUUCCGUGUAGGAGAGCCCCACAUUAAGGGCCCACACUCACAAGCAGUAAGGCCUGCCUCACGGUUCAGCACAUUUUGGUUAUUGCAUGGCUUUUGUUUUCUUGACUUCAGUUAAAAAGGCUUUAACAAAGCCCCAUAAAGAAGAGACCAAGUAAAUAAAAAUCUCAUAUUUGUACUGUUACACUAAUAAGCUUAAUAACAAUAAUCCACAAACAUCUGCAAUCAUAAAAUAAAAACUUCAUUACCAUUUCAAUGCAGUCACUACAAAUCCUCAGGUUAGCCAGUACACCAGCUGUGUCCUGGUGCUUCACAACACAAAGCAGCAAUUCAUUCCAAAUUACCACUCUCUGUUAGUGACUCUUGCUCUCUGGCUCCCAUCCCAAACACUCCUGCUGUUCAGGUCUAUUGUUUCUUCUCACUGGAAGCCUUUUAUUUCCUGGGAAAGCUUGAAGGAUUGUCACCAUGAAAAAAUAGGCUCAUCUUCUAACUUCUGCUUUCCCACUACAUACCCUUCCAACGUUCUGGGCCGACCUAGCCUUCUUUCCCUUCUAUCCAGUGGCAUCUAAAAUACAUUUCUAGAAGGAGUAUAGAAUACUUCGCCCAAAGAAUGAAAUUGAAGGCGUUAACAAGGCUUAUGCUCCUUUGUGGCUCUGUAAAAUGAACUAGUCUGAGAUUCAGAUAAUGAGCUUUAGUCUCUCUAUAGAAGCUGGGGAGUUGAGAAAACUCCCUCUAACUCCUGCCAUGGGCCUCGAAGUCAUCAAAUUCCAUAUACAAUUACAGAGGACUUCCCUCUGAGAGUUUAUGGCCUCAGAACAGCAGGUUAAAAACCAGAUUGGUGGAAAAUGAAGGAUAUUUUUUGAACCACAUGUAACACAUACACCAGCUUAUAGAAAUUUUAUACUACUUAUGAGAUCAUACUUAACAGGCAGUUUAUUUUUAUGCUGCAAAAUACUUAUCUAUUCUCUUUCAUCUGGAACUUAAACUUUUUUUUUGCAAUCCUGAACAUAAUUGGAGAGAGAGAGAAUGAGAGGAUAUUUGAUCUCAGCCUUACGGACGAUAUAUAAGAUUUCAAGAAAACAUUGUCUUUUGGAUUAACUCUUCCAGCGUAUCAACAUAACUAAGAGAAAUGUGUUUCUUCUAGGAUGCAGAAAUCCAAGUCUAUUAACUCUCAAACUCAGGGGUCAUUUAAAUGUGUUCUCUGUAAUUUCUAAUCAGGUGCUAGAAAACAUUUGGAAGAAUAUUUUUUUUUUUUGCAUUAUCUUCUGUUUUGUGGGCAUAACCCAGUGUCUUGCGCAGAUGAUCUCAUUCUGUUUUCCUAGGGACCUGGGGAUCUGUUUAUAAAGCCUCUUCAGAUCUUCAUCUGGGAGGCUUUCCUGGGGCAGGUAGACAUCCUACUGGAGCUGUGAGCUGGCUUUGGAAACUACCUCCCCCUGGAGUAUGGCAGCUGUGAAAAUGUGAUUAACCCUAAGAGCACAGACCACAGAUAUCCACUGACAUAUUUGAUGAUGUGCUUAUUUUGACUCCAUCAAUGAAAGAGGGCUGCCCUGCCUGCGAACACAGAGUGGAACUCUGCUGGUAAGAAGCAUGGCAGCCAUUCAUAACGGCACACCUGCUUUCCCAAGCAGCCUGUUACACCGAUGAAACACUGUUCAUACGUGGCAAAUUUACAAAGGCAGAGGUAAGAGUCUAUCUUCAGGGCUCCAUUGUACAUUAUAAGGAGAGCUAUUGGAGCGAAAUGGGUAAUAAACACAGAAAUGGCUCAUUUUCAUAGACCGAGCUCAUUAAUCUUCUCUCGGGCUGCUUUUAAAUCUUGACAAGAAAUCUGCCAUUAAGAAGAAGGGGCAGUGUGAUAUGAAGAAUAGGGUAAAUGGGAUGCCCUGAAAAGCUGAUCCGUUUUGAACACAAAGCUGAGGGUAAGCUAACCUCUUUCUCAUUACUUCUAUGUGAUCUUCUCUUUCGUAGCUAGCACACGGUACUCGACAUAGUUUUCAAGAUAGAAAAAUAAAGUGACACCUGUUUACAGAAUUCACCGGCAGAUCCGCACAUUGUGAGCUCUCUUGACAACUGGUUUCUAAAACCAGAUUUAGGAUAAAUGUAGGCAUUCUUUGGUGUGGCUAGAGUCAUCACAGAAUGUCUAUAUGAGCUACUGAACCUGAAUGCUUAUUUUUAGGAAGCCUCAAGGAACGAGUUGCAGUUGCUGUGAAGACAUCUGUGAGAUUCCUAGUAAUUCUUAGAUGACGGAUUUCCACUAUGAACAUGAACUCUCAGAAACAAGAGUCAACUUAAAGGACUGAAAACAUUUGCUCUGAAAGUGCUACCUUGAACCUUGUUUCAAUUCCAAGAUAUUGUCUUAUAAUACUCCAUUGCAACUUUACUAAAUUCACAUAUACAGUUUGUAUAGACCAGAUUCAAAAAUGCAUCAUUCUUCAAAGGGACUAGGAACGUUUACUGAAUCACAUCCUGGUAUCAGCAUAUGACAGGAGUGGUCAGAGUUUGGGAGACAGGACAAAUUUGAACAGGGAUUUAAUCACAAUAUGUGAUGGCUCCAACUGGUUACAGGGUAUGACACUCAGUACUUUGUGUAGACACAGAAUAAAAGCAUUGGGUAGCUGGAUAACUUUUUCUAAUAUAGUUAGGAUAAUGAAUUAAAAGCUGAUAGCCCUUGAAGGAGACAGACCUUCAAUCAAAUUCUUCAACAGGAUAAAUAAAUAUAUAUAUAUAUAUGUAUAUAUAUAUUACAUACACACAUAUAUAUAAAAUAUAUACAUAAUAUUUUAAGAAAAUGUCUGUAUAUUCAAAAUAUACUAAAUAUCUUUACACACAUGGCAAUCAUCGAGGAAUAACACAUAAACUAACCAAAUAAAUUCUAUGUUAUUUAGAAAAAAAAUCCUUGGUAUUGGUGAUAAAGACCCUGUGAACACUUUUAAUUCUAUCUUCCAGGUCAGUAGAUUUCUUUUUCUUUUCUUCUUUUUUUUAAUGGCCACACCCACAGCAUAUGGAAAUUCCUGGGCUAGAAUCCAAGCCAGAGCUGCAGCAACACCAGAUCCUUAACCCACCUUGCUGGGCUGGAGAUGGAACCUGAACCUCCACAGUAACCUGAGCCUCUGAAUUUGAAUUCUUAACCCACUGCACCACAGGGGGAACUCCAAUCAGUAGAUUUCUUUAAUGUAAUCUCAGUUUCCAAAAGCCAGAUGAGUUGUCCUGUCAUUAAAAUGCCUUUUGAUUUCUAAAGAUGAUUUAUUCUAAUUUGAAAAGGUUACUUAGCUUCUUAGAAACUCAAAGGUAUAUUAUCUUGGCAAUAAUUUAAGAAAGAAAAAUGUGUGGCUGUUAAACUCUGCUAAAGACAAUCUGGUGGAAGUCAGGGGUGAAGGCAAAACUGGAAAUGGGGACAGAGGAAGGGGAUAAUUAAACCCACUUUGAUUAAAUUUGGUAUAUUGAAAUAUUUAAACAAAAUGAGAAUGAUCACUCACACUCUGAGGGGAAAUUGCCAUUCCAUUCUGGAUGGAAUUCCUAUUUUUGAGAACUGCAAAUGUGCUAAAGUAGUAGAUUCAUCCAGAAUUAGCUUGUAAAAUGCUUGCAAUAAGCAACAUCUCCAAAUCAUGGUCAAAUGGUAUUUUGUGCAGAUAUUUCAUGACAAAAUAUCGUACACGGGUUAAAGCACAAUUACGAAAAUGCCUUCAUGACAAAAUAUCUUACAUGGGUUAAAGUACAAUUAUGAAAAUGCCUUCUGUUUCUUCAGGGUUUAUGACCAUGUUUUACAAAUGUAAUAUCAUAUACUGAGCUUAUAUAAGCCCCAAAAUAAUAUAUUUCUAGCUCUGGCAAGGAUAUCCAGCUUCUGUACUUGAGAACCAAGGGAAGCUGUCCUUAAAAAUGUGUGAGAUUUUUCACCCAGUGAAACAUUGCUAAUGCCACGGUUGGUCACCAGCCUCAUAACUUAUCUCAGCAAGUUCAAUGAGAGUUAUUUAUUGAAUGCUCCUAGUGUGCAAAACCCUGUAUGAUAAUGAUUGAAUUACGACAUACUGGUUUAACAAAAAGAAAAGAAAAAAAAAAAUCCUAGCAGAGUGGGUGAUACAGAGUAAGAAUUCAAUAGCAGUUACUUUCUUUCCCAGGGAGACUGGGACGAAGAGAAGUAGGAAGAAGUUGAGUGGCAUUCAAGAGAAGGCCCCUGAGUUUGAGGUGUUCUCAGGGUCAAGGAAGGAGUCACACUGAACUGUAUCCUCUCUUUCAGAUCCAUUGGCGAGUCAAGGUUUACAAUGUGGCCAGUUUGGCUUAGAGGUAUGAUGGAUUUGGAUAGUGUGAUGGAUAGUGAAGAGACAGUCAUUUUCCCUUCUUGUACUGAGUUUAUCCUGAUAUAUUUUGGUAAUAGAAUGUGACAGAAGUGAUGCUGAGUAAUGAUACUUCCUGGAACCCUGCAAGAAGCCCAAGCAACAGGGAGAGACUAUGUGGAGAAGAAACCAGGUACUCAGUCAACGGCCCCCAGCUGAGCUUCCAGCAACAUGUGAAGGAGGCAUCUUGGAGUCUCCCUUGUCCGGUCCCUGGAGGAGUGCAGCCCCAGCUGACAGCACAUGGAGCAGAACCGCCUAGCUGAGCCCAGUUAACUCACGAGAGGCAUACUGCAUUCUUACAUUCUGGAGAUAAAAGAAGAUAUCCUGGCUGCCAGCAAAGUGGGAGAUGAUGAUAAAUAGAACGAGUGGACCAUAUCUUACAACUAGAGCCAAAUUUCUCAUGCUCGCAGUUGGCAAAACCAGUUAACUCCCCUUCUGGAAUUAAACCUUAACGAGGCUUAUUUCUUUCUGGGCCUACCAUGGAUAUCAUUUACACUGGAACUAGGAACAUCCUAGUAAAUACACUGUACUCUGCCCAGAUGCCCUUGGAAUCUGUUUACAUUUCGGCCAUCCUCAUACCUUUGUGUGUCUACUGGAGGCUGCCCCUGGGAUAGUGGAGGAACUUUGUGUUACACAGUGGAAUGCAAGUGCUUGGGAGUUGAUGACCUACUAGAUCAAGCUGUAGCCAAUGAUGGGUGAAUGAAUAAUUUACUUCCGGAGCUCCUUCUGGGAUCUGACUGAGGCUGAGACUGCCUAAAAUCUUACCCCAUUUGACUUCCCCUUCCAGGGCCUGCUUGCUAUACUUCAUAUAAGAUUCUGCUGGAGCCCUUCCUAGCUGUGUAAUUUUCAUGUAAAUCCUUGUCUCAGGACCCUUGCUGAGAACCCAGCCUAGAACAAUCAGAUAUGUCAAACCAACCUUUCUGCUUUGUCAAUCAUGACCGUUAAGCACUUAAAUCUUUCCUAGGCUCUCUGCUAAUAUCUUCAUGUACUUUAUGUACUCACUUUCAAAUGUGAGAAAAAUGUUACUGACCUAGCACCACUUUCUUUUGUUUUUAGAAAAGCAGUGAUAAAAUUGCAAAUGUGCAUCAGCGUUCGCUCUCACACAUUAACCGAAUAUGGAGCCAGGAACAGCAGUAAAGUAAACAAAGAAUUGAACAAAACUGACUUGUGUGGGGGAGCAUUUGUGAUUCUGUCUCAACGUGUUUCUCUAAGCAGAUGAUCUCAGGCCUCACGUGGGGCCAAUGAAAUUUCAUGAUCAGAAAUGGGGUGACAGACUUCUUAAGACCCUUAACCUUUAAAAGAGAUUUUAAAUUAUGAUAAUUAAGACAGCAUCAAAUAUAAUGUACAGUCUUGCGACUAUUUUGUUCUGUUUUACGAAAGAAACAACUAAACAAACAAAACCACUUCUUGUUGUCAAGGUCCUUCGACUGCUUGCAAUCCAGGAGGGGGAAAGUUUAUAAAAUAAGGCAGCUAAAAUAACACCGCAUGAGAGUCUGUAAUCAGAUUCACAUGGUCCCUGUUGCAGACAUUUAGAGAAGUACAUAACUAUUCUGUGGAGAAGUUAUCAGGAAAAGCCUUACUAAAAAUUGAUAUUGGUAUUGAGUCUUGAAAGUCGUAGCACUGAUGCGAUGCAAGGUCAAGAUUCCCAAGUUGGAGUUCAUGGAUAAGUGCAGAAUGAGCAUGCUUGGUGUGCACUGAGAAGAGAAGGAAACAUUAAGGGGAGCUCUUUGGCUAAAGCCAAAGAUACAGAUUCAGGAAGCGUGUCUAAUGGGGUUUUAUGUAGUUGGAAUGGCAAGGUGAAGUCAGAUAAUGGAAAAUCUCAAAUGCUGGGCUGAGGAGUUCGGACUUGAUUAGAAAGGCCACAACGAAACAGUAUAAUUUUUUCAGCAAGUACAUGGCAUGAUAUUAGAGGUUUUAUAAAGAUUAACUUAGCUUUGGUAUAUCAGAGAGUUUAUUGUAGGGUUUAGUAUAGCAAAAAAAGUUUAUUACUGAAAAUUGGAUGGAAAGUGCAAUUCCAUAUGAAGAAAUGACAAGGUAGGGAUAAACACGAGAGACCAACAAAAGAAAGAGAUGCCAGAAUUUGAUAAUUGAUUAUUGGGCGUAGAGUAGAGAAAAGAGUAGAAGAGGAGUCUAAGGUUUAAGUUUUUGAGUACUUUGGAAAAUAUGGUGGGGGAGAAUGGAGCUGCACAUAAAGAAAGCUUAUUCAGAUGGGAAUGUGCCUUAAUCUGAUUUUUAGAUAUCUGGGUUUAAAGCAGAAUGUUCUGGUAGAAAUGUCCUGUUGGCAUUUUAUUUCCUGGAAAUCAAUACUGAACUCAAGCUUGACUGAAAAAUUAGUAUCGAAGAUACAAAAUUUAUGUUAAGGUAGAGAUGAGAAUUUAAGCUUUGGAUAGAAGGGGAUACAUUCCUAAGAAUAGGAAGACAGAGAGAAAAUGGCUGAAGAUGGAAAUGGAGCCCUAUUAACAGCCCACUUGAGUUACGCUUAGAGAUACCAUUACAUCUGAAUAGUCUUUGGAGGUUACAGGUGACUUCAGCAAAAGACAUAGCCUAUUUUGUUAGUUUAACACUACAGGGCAGAAUUGGCUCAUUCCUCCUUUGGGGAAUAUGGGGGGAAGACAGGUGGCACAUCACUAUUUACUCCUUCUCACCACCUCAUCGUCAUUCUCUGUUCUCUGCACAGUUGGAUCUGGAAUGAGUUCUCCUUGUAGUCACAUGUCAGGAAUUGAGAUCCUUCUGUCUUGGGGUAGCAUGUGACUUCAGUGGACAAACUCACCAUCUUUUGUUUUUUGCUUUUUUUAAAAAAAUCUGAUGACUAAAGAUUAGCACCCAUGCUUCUGCUUCACAGAGACCUAGUGAGGACGAAUGAGAAAAACUCAGGAGGCCCAGGGGAUGCCUAUCUAUGGAUAGUUCACAGUACACUUAGGCAGCUUACUGUCUUAGUUCCAGUAAAAACAGCCUGUUGGGGAAAGGUUAAAGUCUAUGGAAUCUGGUUUUAAUACAGCAUGACUCGAUGUUGCAAAGGAAUAUGAUUUUGAAAGCAUCUCUAAGACCCAGAUGUUUUAUGAAUAUGGUGAUGAUAAUAAAGCCAAUAAUUAUAAAUAAAAAUUUUAUGUUGAAAAUGUGUCUCCCUGAUGAUACAACUGUUCCUAUGCUAUCCCUCUAAAUUUUAAUUAGAACAUGCUGCUUCUUUAAAUUGGAUAGAGCCAGUAGUCUGCUAAGACAACAUACAUCGAAACUGUCUUCAUUUCAUACUUUCUUGGUUACAACAACUGUGUCAUUGGCUUUCUUCUCUUCUUGUUCUGAAUGAGACUGAUUUUCAAGAGAGAAAUUUCCCAGGUAGCUCUUGGACCCAGAGAGAAACUGGCAACUGAUAAGACUCCUGUUGCAACUUCCGUUGUGAUUUCAGUACAACCCUUUGAGAAAGGUUUUUGCAUAUGUGAGAAUACAGUGACCCACAGGGAAAUUUCAAAAAAAAUUAAAGCACUCUGAUUUAACAAAGCCUUUUCAAUCCUGUAAUCAGUGGCUAUUUAAAAAGAACAAGUGCACAAUUUAGAUUGUCACUCAAGGACUAAAAUACCACAGAGGUGAUUUUAGAUCUGCAACAUCUCUCCAUAAAUUAUAUGUAUAACUUCAAAAAAUCUGAUGCAGAAUGUUCUUUGUUUUAUUUCUGUAGAGCAAGAACUUAAUAAAUUAAGAAUUACAGUAGUUAAUAAGGUAUGAAAAAACAGCAUAAAGAAAAAUAUCUAUGUUUCGGCUUUUUCAUUCAAAUAUUCUCUAUUGACAAAAAUACCUUUGGUUAAGAAGGCAGCAGGAAGGGAAAGUAGAGAGACUCUGAGCUUGAAAGUUAGUUCUAUAUUCCCACUUGGCCACUUUCUGGCUUUUUUGGCCCUGAAUACAAUAUUUAAUCUUAUUUUGAUUCUUUUUACUUCUUGAUCUGUAAAACGAGGAAUAAAAAUGACUACUAAACAAGAUUUGCGCAGACUACUAAAUGUGCUUGGUAUAUAGUAGGUGCGUAAAAAGGAAGUUAUUCCUUUGCUUGGAUAUAUGAAAGUUCAUAAGAUACUGUUGUGAUUUUUUUAUCUUAAUAACUUCCUAUUGUAGAAGCUCAGCUAGUGAAACCAUACAAGGAUAAACGAGCUAAAUAACAAAUCAAUGUUUGUUUUGUUUGAAUAGCUGUAGCGUCACACAGCAAAUACAUUUUUAGGGAUUUUUGGUGAGCUGAUCUCUAAAAAAGAAAAUGGAGAAAUACGAACUGCUUAAAGGUCUCACUGUAUGUGGCUACUGAGUUUCCAAGCUGGAUGCUGAGUUAUCUAAGUUAUCAUAGGAAACAUUCUGACAUUCAGGAUUUUUGUAAGAGCCACACAAACCCUUGGUCAACUUAGAGGUGGAUACGUGACCAUACUGAACACACUUAACAGUUUUCUUACCUCUCAUCCUCUCAAACUAACUGCAGUUUCUGCUCAGAAAAGAAUAUUUCUCUUCGCAACUCUUCCUUUCUGUCAUUAUUUAGGUCCGGAUGCUUUGUUACAAAUGAACUAAUUGAUCUUUACCUCUUUGGACCUAAAUUGCCUCCGUGGUAUUAGAUCAGUGGCUCUCAAAUGCUAGUCCUGGGACUCAGACUUCUUUAGGCUCACCUAGCAUCUAUGUCCAGAAUACACAUUCCUGAACUUCACCUCAGACUUCCGAAUCUCUGAGGGUGAGAUCAGGAGUCAGUAGUUAACAAGCUCCGCAGUGAUUCUAUGUGUAGCUGGAUUUAGCAACUAGUACAGUUCUUCCCUGUCUUUCCUACUUGCUGAUUCUAAGUCCAUCCAACUCUUGACUUUCCAACCAGGCUUUUCAGUAUGAUGGCUGCGUUUAGUCUUUGCUCCUCUGAGGAGGAUGGGAGGCUUGAGAGACCUCUUCCAGGCGUUGUUCAAGACAGUCUGGGCCCCAGGAGACCAUUUUGCGAAUCAAGCUGGCGCUGAAUUCUCUCUUUGGGUGGCCUCCAACUUUUUCAUAUAUCAAUUUUUCCUCAGUUCUUGAGAGACAAAUUAGCUUUAAAGAAUUAUGGCCUGAGGUUUUCCUGAAUACGUAAGUAUUGACAGUGUAUGGAAGUCUUCACGCUGAUUGCAUCAGUUCUGUUAAUGAGACAGGAACGUUACUCGAUUUAACCCUUGUUCCAGUUAUAUAUACUCGUGAAAAACUGCUUUUCAAUUGCCUUUGGUUGGAAAUGAAAGUGUUUAUUUGGGGAACAGCUUCUGCUUUAUGAACCUUUAAUAUGCUAUGGUAUUAAUUUUUUCAGUUCUCAACAUGAAAGGAACACGGAUACAUUGUAGACUAUUGAGAAAGUAUAGAAAAUUAUAAAGAGAAAGACUGAAAUUACCUAUAAUCCUACCAUUCAGAAACAAUACUUAAGACUUUGAUGCGAUUUUUCCACUUGUAUAUGCACACAAAUGUAUGCAAAAAUAAAUACUUGGGACAUUUGACAAAUAUGUAAUUUUAACCCUUCUCUCCCUGAUUAGUUUUCUGUUGAACAUUUCCUCAUAUCAUUUUAUGUUCUUCAAAAACAAACAUAAUUUAAUGGUUAUAUACUACUUCCACAAUAUGAAUAGAUUACAGUUUAUGCAGUCACCUCAUUUUUUAUGUGUAGAGUGUUUCCAACUUACUGUUUU
Molecule: non-coding RNA, 13954 nt
Organism: Sus scrofa (pig)
Lineage: Eukaryota; Metazoa; Chordata; Mammalia; Artiodactyla; Suidae
Source: RefSeq, a predicted model, not a curated record